GCCCCCUCCCUGGAGGUGUUCAAGGCCAGGCUGGAUGGGUCUGUGAGCAGCCCGGUCUAGUGGGGGGUGUCCCUGCCUAUAGCAGGGGGUUGGAACUUUGGUGAUCUUAAGGGCCCUUCCAACCCAAACCGUUCUAUGACUCUACAACUAAGAAAAAUGCCUUUACUCUAAAGAUGAUCAGCACUGGACCAAGAUUCCUAAAGAGCUGGUUGAUGCCUCGUGCCUGUCAGUGGUCAAGAGGCAUUUGGAUGAUGUCCUUAGUAAUAUGCUUCGUCUUUUGGUUGGCCCUGAAUUGGCCAGACACUUGCACCUGAAACAGCACGCAGAGAGUUUGACUGACAGAUGUCAUUUAUUGAAGAAGUGGGUGCUGGGGAUGCCUAAUUUUGUGUGCUGGGCAUGCUGGUUGCUCACAUGCUGGGGUUUCUGAGGGUGCACAUGCGGUGGGUGCUGAGCGUUGCGGGUGCUGAGCUCUUGGUGCUGAGCAUGCUGAGUCCUGGGGAUGUUUGGGUUUUGAGAACUAGGCCAUGAGGUGCUAGGUACCGGGGGUGCGCAGGUGCUGGGUCUGAGGAGUGCUGGAGGUGCCGAGUUCUGUGUAUUGUGUGCACUGAGUGCAAGGUGUGCUGGUAGCUGGGUGCAAGAGGUUCCUGGUUCUGAGUGCUGAUGUGGGCUAGGUGCUGAGGGUGUCCUGGUUCUGGGAGCUGGGCGUGCUGGUGUCAGUAGGGCAAUGGUGACUACCGUCUGGGCUUGGGUGUACCCAAGCGGUGAGGAAGGCUCACAUCAUCUUCCAGGCAGGAGCUGAGGAGGGUGAGAGCCACCAGGACACCAGGCAGUGGUGUCGACUUCAGGGAAAGUGUCCAGGAAGUGCUGGAGGAAGGCCUUUCCCUUCUCCUCUGGUGGCGGGUGGUGCGUGGAGGAUGGUGCACUGGGUUGGAAGGCACCCAUGUCAUACUGUGGGCAGAAAGUUUGCAGUCAGCAGAGGGGGUGGGUAGGGCCAUCCAUUUGGCAUGGGGACAGGUUGGAUGAGGACCCUGUCCUGAAGUGAGGUGGGGGCAUCCCUCCAACAUGGAGCUGAGAUGGCUCUCCGGCAUGCAAUGGGGAUGUCCCUGUGGAGACGAGGGGGCAAGCUCAAUCUCUUCACCUACAGCCAGGCAUGACCACCUCAAGGCAAACAUCAGCUGCCCUCUUGCGAGGAUCCCGCUGGUGGCUUGUCCCCUCUGUCCUUGGUUGGGUGGCUCUGGCCCCCAGCAGCCUGGGAUGUCUGAGGGGCUGGACCCGCUCUGGGACUUCAGUGCCAACCAGGAGUGCCCUCCCUGUUCCCACGUGUCCCCCACACUGCCCUUCUCCCUCAC
RNAcentral lists this long non-coding RNA (1349 nucleotides) under Gallus gallus (chicken). Its description in RNAcentral is "lncRNA (ENSGALG00010024048.1)". Lineage: Eukaryota; Metazoa; Chordata; Aves; Galliformes; Phasianidae. The record is from RNAcentral.